ACGAACGCUGGCGGCGUGCUUAACACAUGCAAGUCGAACGAGAGGAAUUGAAAAGCUUGCUUUUAAUGAAUCGAGUGGCAAACGGGUGAGUAACACGUAAACAACCUGCCUUCAGGAUGGGGACAACAGACGGAAACGACUGCUAAUACCGAAUACCUUCCAAGAGCCGCAUGACACCUGGAAGAAAGGGUGGCCUCUACCUGUAAGCUAUCGCCUGAAGAGGGGUUUGCGUCUGAUUAGGCAGUUGGUGAGGUAACGGCCCACCAAACCUACGAUCAGUAGCCGGUCUGAGAGGAUGAACGGCCACACUGGAACUGAGACACGGUCCAGACUCCUACGGGAGGCAGCAGUGGGGAAUCUUCCGCAAUGGGCGAAAGCCUGACGGAGCAACGCCGCGUGAGUGAUGACGGCCUUCGGGUUGUAAAGCUCUGUGAUCGGGGACGAACGGACUUACUGCUAAUACCAGUAAGUAGUGACGGUACCCGAAUAGCAAGCCACGGCUAACUACGUGCC
RNAcentral lists this ribosomal RNA (513 nucleotides) under uncultured bacterium. RNAcentral describes it as "bacterial SSU rRNA". It matches the Rfam family "Bacterial small subunit ribosomal RNA", at positions 29 to 509 of the family's 1533-position model. The record is from RNAcentral.